AAGUCGUAACAAGGUUUCCGUAGGUGAACCUGCGGAAGGAUCAUUAACACUUUUUAAUGAGCAUCCAAAACCUCUUUGGAUCAACCCAACCUCUGAGCGAACCGAUUGGCAAUUUUCCCUUGCCCCCUUUUUAUUUCUUAAACUACUCUGAACAUCAUUUGUGUCUGAAUCUUUGCGCCUUGGCUUGGCUUGCGAAAGCGAAGCGAAGCGAAGCGCGAAAAAACUCUAACGCAAUACAACUCUUAACAACGGAUAUCUUGGCUCUC
This 266-nucleotide unclassified non-coding RNA is filed under the name fungal sp. Its description in RNAcentral is "partial internal transcribed spacer region". The stretch from base 1 to 46 matches the Rfam family "Eukaryotic small subunit ribosomal RNA", at positions 1786 to 1831 of the family's 1831-position model. Lineage: Eukaryota; Fungi. The record is from RNAcentral.